GUCGCACUUAAACUCAACACUCUUUUUCUUGCAGCAGUGGUUUAAACAGAGGAACAAACAGGAAGAUCUUGUCACCUUUGAGGGGCUGUGGUUGUGCCCCUCAAAGUGACUUUGGAGGUUCUACACCA
Small nucleolar RNA from Chlorocebus sabaeus (green monkey), 128 nucleotides. The record is from Ensembl. NCBI's taxonomy places the organism in Eukaryota, Metazoa, Chordata, Mammalia, Primates, Cercopithecidae.